CAGGCAGGGAUUGUGUGUAUCGGCGUUGUGCAGCAAUCAAUGCACUCUGUAUCCGAAAGAGUUCCCUGCGAUAUCAAGUUAAGGGGAAGGUGGGCAGUUGUAUUUUAUCAUAGCCCUUGAAAAUUUCAACAAUCAUCUUCCCCAUAUUU
Molecule: small nucleolar RNA, 149 nt
Organism: Ziziphus jujuba (common jujube)
Lineage: Eukaryota; Viridiplantae; Streptophyta; Magnoliopsida; Rosales; Rhamnaceae
Product: small nucleolar RNA snoR135
Exons: 1
Source: RefSeq, a predicted model, not a curated record